UGGCACUGAUGAGCAAAUCAAGGCCGAGAGCUCAAGGGACAGGGAUCAAGUCACUGCAAUGGUUGGUCAGUGGCUAAAGGGGACUUAGACCCCAGGUCUCCUGACUCCCUUGAUGCUGCUGUUUCUUGUCCUUCUAAACCUCUUCUGAAGACUUGGGAUUUUCAGUUGUUUUUAAAGAAGGCAUUGGGGGGAGGAAAAAAAAAAAAGGAGGCAAGGUCAUAAACCCAAAUGUGGAAAACAGAUACAAGACGCUGCUGUUCCUUCCCUCAUUAUGUCACUGCAAGGAAGACUAGAAAAUGUCACCUAAGGAGCACCAGCUGCACUCAGCUCCCAGGGCUCAGCCUGCAGACACUGUGCAAUGAAAGAGAACCCAACCUGGAGCAGGAUCUCCAGCUGGUUAGUCUGAACCUGUUUCCUUACAUGAAAAAUGAAGGUUGAAAACACUGAAGUAUUGCUGAGUGAGAAACAUAAGAAGAGUGCCUGGAAUUAGUCCUGCAUCCAGGUAGCAACUCAGCCAACAUUAGGCGGAAUCAUAGGCAAUUGCUACUGUUAUAGGUCACAAUGGCCAAUUAUUGACAAUUUCAUAGGAGGGUUCAACUCUGCAUUAGCUUGCUACUCAGGUAGCCAGGAGAUCAGUGUCCAAUUGAGCAGAGUACCGAGUACCUCUUGAAGAGGUGGCACCUAAGAAGUGGAUUUUACUUGUAUCAUCAAAGAACCAAGACAUGCCAGCACCCUCCUAGAUGUUUUCAAUGCUGGGAGCUUUUCCUGACUCUCAUUAGUUAAGCAAAUCUAAUUGAAGAGCUAGGGUAACAAUGUGGUUAGGAGCCUAGACUCAGGGAAGGAUUUCCUGGAUCAAACUCUUGCGCUUCUAUUCACCAGCUUUGUGACCAUGAGCAAGUUUCUUAGAUAGUCUCAGUUAUCUCUUCUAUGACAUGGGAUAAUGCAGAGUUGCUGUGAGAACUAAAUAAGUUCUUAGAACACUACAGUGUUAACUACCAUUAACUUGAUUUAAGAUAGGUGGUGUGGCCUGAUAUGAGACCUAUGGACAGAAAUCAGAACCUUGACAUUGGAACCUUGCUUUUUUUUUUUUUUUUUUCAGCACCCC
Molecule: long non-coding RNA, 1105 nt
Filed under: Sus scrofa (pig)
Lineage: Eukaryota; Metazoa; Chordata; Mammalia; Artiodactyla; Suidae
Description: lncRNA (ENSSSCG00070014321.1)
Source: RNAcentral